GGCAUGCCUGCAGCUAACACAUGCAAGUCGAGCGGUAGCACAAGAGAGCUUGCUCUCUGGGUGACGAGCGGCGGACGGGUGAGUAAUGUCUGGGAAACUGCCUGAUGGAGGGGGAUAACUACUGGAAACGGUAGCUAAUACCGCAUGAUGUCUUCGGACCAAAGUGGGGGACCUUCGGGCCUCACGCCAUCAGAUGUGCCCAGAUGGGAUUAGCUAGUAGGUGGGGUAAUGGCUCACCUAGGCGACGAUCUCUAGCUGGUCUGAGAGGAUGACCAGCCACACUGGAACUGAGACACGGUCCAGACUCCUACGGGAGGCAGCAGUGGGGAAUAUUGCACAAUGGGCGCAAGCCUGAUGCAGCCAUGCCGCGUGUAUGAAGAAGGCCUUCGGGUUGUAAAGUACUUUCAGCGAGGAGGAAGGCAUUAAGGUUAAUAACCUUGGUGAUUGACGUUACUCGCAGAAGAAGCACCGGCUAACUCCGUGCCAGCAGCCGCGGUAAUACGGAGGGUGCAAGCGUUAAUCGGAAUUACUGGGCGUAAAGCGCACGCAGGCGGUUGAUUAAGUCAGAUGUGAAAUCCCCGAGCUUAACUUGGGAACUGCAUUUGAAACUGGUCAGCUAGAGUCUUGUAGAGGGGGGUAGAAUUCCAGGUGUAGCGGUGAAAUGCGUAUAGAUC
Molecule: ribosomal RNA, 674 nt
Filed under: Hafnia paralvei
Lineage: Bacteria; Pseudomonadati; Pseudomonadota; Gammaproteobacteria; Enterobacterales; Hafniaceae
Description: bacterial SSU rRNA
Rfam family: Bacterial small subunit ribosomal RNA
Source: RNAcentral